Molecule: non-coding RNA, 237 nt
Organism: Drosophila melanogaster (fruit fly)
Lineage: Eukaryota; Metazoa; Arthropoda; Insecta; Diptera; Drosophilidae
Source: Ensembl
UGUGUGCUGAGACCUCAGAGUAGUCGGUGCGGCAAUGACGACAGCGUCGCCUUUGCCAAUGACUACGACUUCGACUAUGACUCUGGCUAUGGCUCUGGCUCUGGCGAUAUUCUGUUCUUUCGUUUGGAAUACCCUGGGGAUUCGGUGGGUAUGCGUAAUACAUCGUACUUCUGUGUAGGUCUUAAUAUUUAAUCUUUAAUUUUGGGGACUUCCGUUUGGUCACUGUUUUCGUAUUAU